This 179-nucleotide ribosomal RNA is filed under the name Paenibacillus sp. P46E. Its description in RNAcentral is "partial 16S ribosomal RNA". It matches the Rfam family "Bacterial small subunit ribosomal RNA", at positions 1 to 181 of the family's 1533-position model. Lineage: Bacteria; Bacillati; Bacillota; Bacilli; Caryophanales; Paenibacillaceae. The record is from RNAcentral.
AUUUGGAGAGUUUGAUCCUGGCUCAGGACGAACGCUGGCGGCGUGCCUAAUACAUGCAAGUCGAGCGGAGCUUAUCCUUCGGGGGAAGCUUAGCGGCGGACGGGUGAGUAACACGUAGGCAACCUACCCUCUAGACUGGGAUAACUACCGGAAACGGUAGCUAAUACCGGAUAAUUCCU